RNAcentral lists this ribosomal RNA (254 nucleotides) under uncultured bacterium. RNAcentral's name for it is "partial 16S ribosomal RNA". It matches the Rfam family "Bacterial small subunit ribosomal RNA", at positions 526 to 779 of the family's 1533-position model. The record is from RNAcentral.
CGGAGGGUGCGAGCGUUAUCCGGAAUCACUGGGCGUAAAGGGCGCGUAGGCGGUUUGUUAAGUCCGAUGUUAAAGACCGAGGCUCAACCUCGAUACGGCGUUGGAUACUGACAAGCUGGACGGUUGGAGAGGAAGGUAGAAUUACCAGUGUAGCGGUGGAAUGCGUAGAUACUGGUAGGAAUACCCAUUGCGAAGGCAGCCUUCUGGACAACACGUGACGCUGAGGCGCGAAAGUGUGGGGAGCAAACCGGAUU